UGUUGACUGCCGACUGAGAACGUAGGAUAACAGCUGCUUAGCAUCACCGUGGCCGAAGUCCGUGACUUUACCUUUUUUCCUCGGGUUGGCUCUAACACCAGAGGCGUAUAUCCUUCAGACCAUUAUGUUUAUGACUUUGAUGCGCACCUCCAGAGCUGACCGACUCAUUUAAGGAUCAAAUCCCCCGUAAAGGUAGUUGAAGACUGCAGUGGAGUUGAAGACUACCUGUACUGCGUGUGCACGCAUGUGGGAGAUGCAAUAUUGCCGAUUUUUCUUCACAGCCUGUCAGGACAGCCAGUGUUUGGUCCUGUCACCGGUGUGUUUUUUUUUUUUUAAAUCCUCUCUCGUCCAAACAGAAGGAUUUAGGUAAUUUAAUUUUAAUUUAACAAAACAAUUUAGGUAAAAAAAAACAAAAAACAAAACGCUGCUAAACAGCAUCCUUUUUAAUGGCAGAGUGCCAAAUUUCCUUCCCUUUCUAGCAUUUUCAAAAAAUUCUAGAAUUUUUCCCUUUAGGAUUAAGACAUUUCUGAAAAAUGAGCUAUACUUCUAAUAUUUUUUUCUAUAGAAAUAAAAAUAUUUAUGGCUGUAACUUAAUUACAUAUUCCCUAAAAAUGGAAAAAAAAACCACUUUUUCCCUAUACCUUCCGUGUUAGGUCAGACUACUGCGGACAGGUGCUGCCGCCUACGUUCCUGAAAACGACGACACUUUGGCAGAUAGGGAAUCCUUAAGCAGUAGACGUAUACCUCUAAACUAUUAUACUUUAUAGUUUAUACCAUGGUAGUUGUUCUGCUUGGUAUUAGUUAUUUGCAUCCAUUUGAUGCUCAAAUUUCACCUUCAUCACCUGCCUGAAAGCAUCACAAUUAUCUUUAUUGGUAAAUAACUUGACAUCAAUUUUUUUAAACUUUCAUGUAUUCACCAUGUUGCUGAUUGGGCUAAAGAAGCAGCUUUUUCUCCUAGAGGACUCCUAAAGACUCUUCCCCCAAGGAAAUUUGUAGCUGUGGACUUUAUUAAUUUGACUCUUGUAUCAUUAAUAUUUUUCCACUUCUUGGAACAAGGAACAUAGGAUAUCUUGAUGCCAACCAAGUGUCAUUGAAAAGAUUCUAAAAAGAUGUUUAAGGUAUUUGACGAAUGUGUAAUAAUGUUAGUAAAGUGACUUUUUUGGAAUUUGUAAAUUAGCAGGAAAAAAUUAAAGCUGGAGAACUAUACAUUUGUUUCUUGUUACUAGUUUGGUAAAUUGUUAAAAUGAAACAACAUAUGACCGUGACCUGUUACUUCAGUUAAUUGAUUGCAGAGUCAGAGAACAAUGCCAUAAAAUAACAAAACGGAGGUUAUUUAUCACUGAGUCAUAGAACAAUGUGUGGAAUCUGAUUUACUAGCCCUUGAAACCCCAGCUGCCCUUCUGCUUCAACAAGGCUAUAAAACAAUUAUAAUUUCAGGAGGCUCUAACUCGGUUUACGCAACGGAUGCCCCACUUUACCACCCAGCAAAUCUUUACUUGCGUUCUUCCAGUGCCGGGAAUUUGUUAUGCAUGCAAUUACUCAACAAGGCAUUAGUGGAACGGCGGAGAGAAAAGAUGUUUGCGAUGGGCAAUUCGAGAUCCAAGUAAAAACGGAGUGCCCAUUGUUUAAAGGCUUAGAGACUCGGCAAAAGGUAUUACUGAUCCAUGGUGACAGACAGUGUAGACAAGGUUGCAGAAGAGUUGCGUUGCGUCGCAUCAUCUUUGCGUCAUAUUAUUUCCGCUAUCGCUGAUACUGAACGCCGUCUUUACGAAGUCAAUUUCCAUGAUUUGAGUGAAAACGGACGAAAAAUGUUGCAUAACUUCUUGUUCGACAUCUUCAGAUUGCAAGGAGGUUUCACGUUGGAGAAAUGCGAGCAGCAGGUGUAUCGUUUACAUCCGGAGUAUGGUCGGACGUGUUAAGAGCAUGCUCAUGCUGGUAAGCGGUGAAGUCGAUUUCGCCGUUUGUGCUGCCCUUUUCCAUGAAGCACUUCUACAGGUUAUAACUCGUCGAGAGUGCAGGGCAUCUACAUCGAUAACGGUUUCCUGCGUAAAGACGAAUCCGAGCAGGUCGUCACUAGUUUACAGCAACUCGGGGUUAUUCUUCGGACAGUGGCUUCUCAUUUCUUCUUCUUACCAGCGAUCAGAUUUGAGGUUUCAAAUGGUUUUAGUUUGUUAAAGCAAAUCUGACUUUCUACGGUUUUUCCAUCGACGUGCAUGGUCGCCAAACUUUGUCUUUAUGUCGGACUGUCAAUCCGUAAGAAAAACGUCGAAUUACUCGCGAUACGUUUGUCAAAGUGGCAGAUACAACGGCUAACGAUUUAAAUCUAACUUGGGAUAAUAUACUUCUCGAACAAGGUACUUUGAGACCGGAUUUAAUUGAGUCCGCUUUCCAUAUGGCUUCUUCGCGCACCAUUAAGAUCUUUAAUCUUUUCGCAUUUUUUCCCCAAAAGACUUCCAUGAAGAUGAAGUAAGAGGUCUUUGAGGUAAGCGGAUUUUAUUUGGCUAAUAAAAUAUUGUGGGAUUCGGGUUGCAAUAAGAAGCUAGCCCAGAUGGCAAUCGUCUUGAUCCCUUUUCACUUUUAUCGCGAUUCAAGUCAACGCAUUCCAUCAUGCCAGCGAUCAGUCGUUGUCCGACCAUUCCUUUCACAUGAUUUUGUGACUGGACUUCCCACAAUUCCUGAUACCUAUCUGCCCCAAGAGGUUGAAGACAAGAUGGUUGAAGCCGUCUUAACUGUUCCAGGAAUUUCCAGGGUCUUGUAUGACCGGACAGCGAAACCACCCGGGACAACGAAGUGGGAAUUAUUUGAUUUACGAUCGUUGCUUAGACAAAUGAUCUCCGCACGAUCCAUAGGAUGAUCUCCGCACGCUUCAUAGGACACGGAUACAGAGUUGUAUCAUUGACCAGAUUUAGGGGG
Molecule: long non-coding RNA, 2913 nt
Organism: Daphnia magna
Lineage: Eukaryota; Metazoa; Arthropoda; Branchiopoda; Diplostraca; Daphniidae
Exons: 10
Source: RefSeq, a predicted model, not a curated record